UACAGAGGGUGCAAGUGUUGUUCGGAAUUAUUGGGCGUAAAGGGUGCGUAGGCGGUUUGGUCAGUCAGGUGUGAAAGCCCUAGGCUUAACCUAGGAACUGCAUUUGAUACUACCAAGCUAGAGUGUGAAAGAGGAGAGCGGAAUUCCCGGUGUAGAGGUGAAAUUCGUAGAUAUCGGGAGGAACACCAGUGGCGAAAGCGGCUCUCUGGGUCAACACUGACGCUCAGUGCACGAGAGCGUGGGGAGCAAACAGG
This 254-nucleotide ribosomal RNA is filed under the name uncultured bacterium. RNAcentral's name for it is "partial 16S ribosomal RNA". It matches the Rfam family "Bacterial small subunit ribosomal RNA", at positions 524 to 776 of the family's 1533-position model. The record is from RNAcentral.